AGAAACCAACAGGGAUUGCCUCAGUAACGGCGAGUGAAGCGGCAAUAGCUCAAAUUUGAAAGCUGGCGCAAGCCCGCGUUGUAAUUUGUAGAGGAUGCUUCGGGUGUGGUGCCGGUCUAAGUUCCUUGGAACAGGACGUCAUAGAGGGUGAGAAUCCCGUAUAUGGCUGGUCGCCUACGCCUGUGUGAAGCUCCUUCGACGAGUCGAGUUGUUUGGGAAUGCAGCUCAAAAUGGGUGGUGUACUCCAUCUAAAGCUAAAUAUUGGCCAAAGACCGAUAGCGCACAAGUAGAGUGAUCGAAAGAUGAAAAGCACUUUGGAAAGAGAGUUAAACAGUACGUGAAAUUGUUGAAAGGGAAGCGCUUGCAAUCAGACUUGCGCGGCGCUGAUCAGCUUGGGUUCUCCCUUGCGCACUCGGCGCCGUUCAGGCCAGCAUCAGUUUUAGCGGUUGGAUAAAGGCCUAGGGAAAGUGAGUGGCUUCGGCCACUGUUAUAGCCCUGGGCGCAAUGCAGCCUGCUGGGACUGAGGACCGCGCUUCGGCUAGGAUGCUGGCGUAAUGGUUGUAAGCGACCCGUCUUGAAACACGGACCAAGGAGUUGAAGAAUAGUGCGAGUGUUUGGGUGUUAAACCCAUGCGCGUAAUGAAAGUGAACGGAGGUGAGAGUCCUUAAGGAUGCAUCAUCGACCGAUCCUGAUGUCUUCGGAUGGAUUUGAGUAAGAGCACUACUCUUCUGACCCGAAAGAUGGUGAACUAUGCCUGAAUAGGGUGAAGCCAGAGGAAACUCUGGUGGAGGCUCGCAGAGGUUCUGACGUGCAAAUCGAUCUUCAAAUUUGGGUAUAGGGGCGAAAGACUAAUCG
Molecule: ribosomal RNA, 855 nt
Filed under: Terriera thailandica
Lineage: Eukaryota; Fungi; Ascomycota; Leotiomycetes; Rhytismatales; Rhytismataceae
Description: eukaryotic LSU rRNA
Rfam family: Eukaryotic large subunit ribosomal RNA
Source: RNAcentral